This is a non-coding RNA of Triticum aestivum (bread wheat), 133 nucleotides long. Lineage: Eukaryota; Viridiplantae; Streptophyta; Magnoliopsida; Poales; Poaceae. The record is from Rfam.
AUGCUACUCCCUCCAUCCCAAAAUUCUUGUCUUAGAUUUGUCUAGAUACGGAUGUAUCUAGCACUAAAAUGUAACUCGAUACAUCCGUAUUUAGACAAAUCUAAUACAAGAAUUUUGGGACGGAGGGUAUCGG